Molecule: ribosomal RNA, 419 nt
Filed under: uncultured bacterium
Lineage: Bacteria
Description: bacterial SSU rRNA
Rfam family: Bacterial small subunit ribosomal RNA
Source: RNAcentral
UGGGGAAUCUUGCGCAAUGGGCGAAAGCCUGACGCAGCGACGCCGCGUGGGUGAUGAAGGCCUUCGGGUUGUAAAGCCCUGUGGAGAGGGACGAAUAAGUUCGACCUAAUACGUCGGGCGAUGACGGUACCUCUUUAGCAAGCACCGGCUAACUCUGUGCCAGCAGCCGCGGUAAGACAGAGGGUGCAAACGUUGUUCGGAAUUACUGGGCGUAAAGCGCGUGUAGGCGGUCGUGCAAGUCGGGUGUGAAAGCCCAGGGCUCAACCCUGGAAGUGCAUUCGAUACUGCAUGGCUAGAGUCCCGGAGAGGAUGGUGGAACUCUCGGUGUAGAGGUGAAAUUCGUAGAUAUCGAGAAGAACACCUGUGCCGAAGGCGGCCAUCUGGACGGCGACUGACGCUGAGACGCGAAAGCGUGGGGA